UACGUAGGGUGCGAGCGUUGUCCGGAAUUAUUGGGCGUAAAGGGCUCGUAGGCGGUCUGUCACGUCGGGAGUGAAAACUCGGGGCUUAACCCCGAGCCUGCUUCCGAUACGGGCAGACUAGAGGUAUGCAGGGGAGAACGGAAUUCCUGGUGUAGCGGUGAAAUGCGCAGAUAUCAGGAGGAACACCGGUGGCGAAGGCGGUUCUCUGGGCAUUACCUGACGCUGAGGAGCGAAAGUGUGGGGAGCAAACAGG
This 253-nucleotide ribosomal RNA is filed under the name uncultured bacterium. Its description in RNAcentral is "partial 16S ribosomal RNA". It matches the Rfam family "Bacterial small subunit ribosomal RNA", at positions 524 to 776 of the family's 1533-position model. The record is from RNAcentral.